UAGGGAAUCUUCCGCAAUGGACGCAAGUCUGACGGAGCAACGCCGCGUGAGUGAAGAAGGAUUUCGGUUCGUAAAACUCUGUUGUUAGAGAAGAACAGCGCAUAGAGUAACUGUUAUGCGUGUGACGGUAUCUAACCAGAAAGCCACGGCUAACUACGUGCCAGCAGCCGCGGUAAUACGUAGGUGGCAAGCGUUGUCCGGAUUUAUUGGGCGUAAAGCGAGCGCAGGCGGUCAAUUAAGUCUGAUGUGAAAGCCCCCGGCUCAACCGGGGAGGGUCAUUGGAAACUGGUUGACUUGAGUGCAAAAGGGGAGAGUGGAAUUCCAUGUGUAGCGGUGAAAUGCGUAGAUAUAUGGAGGAACACCAGUGGCGAAGGCGACUCUCUGGUCUGUAACUGACGCUGAGGCUCGAAAGCGUGGGUAGCAAACAGG
Molecule: ribosomal RNA, 429 nt
Filed under: Bacteroidota bacterium
Lineage: Bacteria; Pseudomonadati; Bacteroidota
Description: Bacteroidetes bacterium partial 16S ribosomal RNA
Rfam family: Bacterial small subunit ribosomal RNA
Source: RNAcentral